This is a long non-coding RNA of Clupea harengus (Atlantic herring), 1093 nucleotides long. Lineage: Eukaryota; Metazoa; Chordata; Actinopteri; Clupeiformes; Clupeidae. The record is from Ensembl.
CAGACACAACGGGGCGGGCUGGUGACCAAUCCCAACCAGGGGGAGGGACUACUGACCAAUCAGACAGGCAAAUAGACCCUACUGACCAAUCAGAGAGGCAGGGAGAAAGCGCUGGCUGCAGGCUAACACGGACAGAUGCCCACAACACUUUAGACACACACACACUUGCAGACGCACACUCAGACAUACACAAUGCUUUAGACACACACACACUUGCAGACACACACUCACACAUACACAACACUUUAAACACACACACACUUGCAGACAUACACUCACACAUACACAACACUUUAGACACACACACACUGGCAGACACACACUCACACACACACAAUGCUUUAAACACACACUCAGACAUACACAAUGCUUUAGACACGCACAGAGACACACACACAUCCACAGUCACACACCCACUCAAAGAUUCAGAAACACACUCAAACACAAAGAUUCUCACACACACUCACACACUGACAGACUUGUGCCCGCUCAAAGACUCAAAUACAGUAUCAGACACACACACACACUGUGUGGCAGACACACACACACACUCUGUGGCAGACACACACACACACUCUGUGGCAGACACACACACACACUCUGUGGCAGACACACACACACCCGCUCUUCUGAACCUCAGCCUGUCCCUGACCUCACACAGCCAGAGGGGUCACGACCUGACCUGCCCUCCCUUGGCCUCACCCCGUUCUCUCCCCCCCGCCCUGUGAACGCUCUCCUCCUCCGUCCGCAGUGCUCACCAUCCCUCUCUCCCUCCCUCUGUCCGCAGCGAUCUCCAUCCCUCUCUCCCUCCCUCCGUCCGGGACGCUCUCCAUCCCUCUCUCCCUCCCUCCGUCCGCGACGCUGCUCGCCAUCCCUCUCUCCCUCGCUCUCCGUCACUUCCUCCCGGGCCCAGAGCCCUGUCCAUAUGCCUGCUGCUGAUUGGCCGACAGAGUCUCUGAGAGGUGGAGCCGACAGUCAGGUUCUAGAGCCAAGUAGAACAACCAGCACAGAGAAGAACCUACCUGGUAACUGGACAGAACAGAACCAGAUGACCGCUAGAGCCAAAAUGGAGGACAACCUAACUACAACCUGC